AAUCGCAGGUCAGCAUACUGCGGUGAAUACGUUCCCGGGUCUUGUACACACCGCCCGUCACACCAUGAGAGUUAGAAUACCCGAAGCCUGUGAGCCAACUUUAUAAGAGGCAGCAGUCGAAGGUAGAACUAAUGAUUGGGGUGAAGUCGUAACAAGGUAGC
This 161-nucleotide ribosomal RNA is filed under the name uncultured bacterium. Its description in RNAcentral is "partial 16S ribosomal RNA". It matches the Rfam family "Bacterial small subunit ribosomal RNA", at positions 1340 to 1500 of the family's 1533-position model. The record is from RNAcentral.